RNAcentral lists this ribosomal RNA (1454 nucleotides) under Faucicola osloensis. RNAcentral describes it as "bacterial SSU rRNA". It matches the Rfam family "Bacterial small subunit ribosomal RNA". Lineage: Bacteria; Pseudomonadati; Pseudomonadota; Gammaproteobacteria; Moraxellales; Moraxellaceae. The record is from RNAcentral.
UAGUUUGAACCUGGCUCAGAUUGAACGCUGGCGGCAGGCUUAACACAUGCAAGUCGAACGAUGAAACUCUAGCUUGCUAGAGANGAUUAGUGGCGGACGGGUGAGUAACAUUUAGGAAUCUGCCUAGUAGUGGGGGAUAGCUCGGGGAAACUCGAAUUAAUACCGCAUACGACCUACGGGUGAAAGGGGGCGCAAGCUCUUGCUAUUAGAUGAGCCUAAAUCAGAUUAGCUAGUUGGUGGGGUAAAGGCCCACCAAGGCGACGAUCUGUAACUGGUCUGAGAGGAUGAUCAGUCACACCGGAACUGAGACACGGUCCGGACUCCUACGGGAGGCAGCAGUGGGGAAUAUUGGACAAUGGGGGCAACCCUGAUCCAGCCAUGCCGCGUGUGUGAAGAAGGCCUUUUGGUUGUAAAGCACUUUAAGCAGGGAGGAGAGGCUAAUGGUUAAUACCCAUUAGAUUAGACGUUACCUGCAGAAUAAGCACCGGCUAACUCUGUGCCAGCAGCCGCGGUAAUACAGAGGGUGCGAGCGUUAAUCGGAAUUACUGGGCGUAAAGCGAGUGUAGGUGGCUCAUUAAGUCACAUGUGAAAUCCCCGGGCUUAACCUGGGAACUGCAUGUGAUACUGGUGGUGCUAGAAUAUGUGAGAGGGAAGUAGAAUUCCAGGUGUAGCGGUGAAAUGCGUAGAGAUCUGGAGGAAUACCGAUGGCGAAGGCAGCUUCCUGGCAUAAUAUUGACACUGAGAUUCGAAAGCGUGGGUAGCAAACAGGAUUAGAUACCCUGGUAGUCCACGCCGUAAACGAUGUCUACUAGCCGUUGGGGUCCUUGAGACUUUAGUGGCGCAGUUAACGCGAUAAGUAGACCGCCUGGGGAGUACGGCCGCAAGGUUAAAACUCAAAUGAAUUGACGGGGGCCCGCACAAGCGGUGGAGCAUGUGGUUUAAUUCGAUGCAACGCGAAGAACCUUACCUGGUCUUGACAUAGUGAGAAUCNUNCAGAGAUGAGAGAGUGCCUUCGGGAACUCACAUACAGGUGCUGCAUGGCUGUCGUCAGCUCGUGUCGUGAGAUGUUGGGUUAAGUCCCGCAACGAGCGCAACCCUUUUCCUUAUUUGCCAGCGGGUUAAGCCGGGAACUUUAAGGAUACUGCCAGUGACAAACUGGAGGAAGGCGGGGACGACGUCAAGUCAUCAUGGCCCUUACGACCAGGGCUACACACGUGCUACAAUGGUAGGUACAGAGGGUUGCUACACAGCGAUGUGAUGCUAAUCUCAAAAAGCCUAUCGUAGUCCGGAUUGGAGUCUGCAACUCGACUCCAUGAAGUCGGAAUCGCUAGUAAUCGCAGAUCAGAAUGCUGCGGUGAAUACGUUCCCGGGCCUUGUACACACCGCCCGUCACACCAUGGGAGUCUAUUGCACCAGAAGUAGGUAGCCUAACGNAAGAGGGCGCUUACCACGGU